Molecule: ribosomal RNA, 266 nt
Filed under: uncultured bacterium
Lineage: Bacteria
Description: partial 16S ribosomal RNA
Rfam family: Bacterial small subunit ribosomal RNA
Source: RNAcentral
UGGGUUAGUGGCGGACGGGUGAGUAACGCGUGGAUAACCUGCCGUAUACAGGGGGAUAACACUUAGAAAUAGGUGCUAACACCGCAUAAGCGCACGGUUCCGCAUGGAACAGUGUGAAAAACUCCGGUGGUAUACGAUGGAUCCGCGUCUGAUUAGCCAGUUGGCGGGGUAACGGCCCACCAAAGCGACGAUCAGUAGCCGGCCUGAGAGGGUGAACGGCCACAUUGGGACUGAGACACGGCCCAAACUCCUACGGAAGGCAGCAG